CCUACGGGGUGCAGCAGUGGGGAAUCUUGCGCAAUGCUCGAAAGCGUGACGCAGCGACGCCGCGUGAGUGAUGAAGGCCUUCGGGUCGUAAAGCUCUUUUGUUAGGGAAGAACAUGUCUGUAAGUAACUGUGUAUGUCUUGACGGUACCUGUUUAGACAGCCCCGGCUAACUCCGUGCCAGCAGCCGCGGUAAUACGGAGGGGGCGAGCGUUGUUCGGAGUGAUUGGGCGUAAAGAGCACGUAGGCGGUUUUUUAAGUCAAGAGUCAAAGACCAGGGCUCAACCGUAGUAGGGCAAGUGAAACUAGAAUACUAGAGUAUAAGAGAGGAAUGUAGAAUUCCAGGUGUAGCGGUGAAAUGCGUAGAGAUCAGGAGGAACACCGUUGGCGAAGGCGGCAAUCUGGCUGGUAACUGACGCUGAGGUGCGAAAGCGUGGGGAGCAAACAGGAUUAGAUACCCUUGUAGUC
This 465-nucleotide ribosomal RNA is filed under the name uncultured bacterium. RNAcentral describes it as "partial 16S ribosomal RNA". It matches the Rfam family "Bacterial small subunit ribosomal RNA", at positions 338 to 795 of the family's 1533-position model. The record is from RNAcentral.